UGGCAUGUUUGUGUACUCUGACGCGUAUCUGUGCCUCUGAGCAACUGACACAGAUCCCCAUGUCCCACUGUAGUUAUGAACCCAGUCAGGCUGAGCAGCAUCAGAUCGUGUCUGGGAUGAUUAGUUCAUCUUACGUGACUCUGGUCAGCAAGCACUGACAGAGUCUGGCUGUAUGGCAUCAUCUCUGUCUGGACGGAAAUUGCAAAGGAAAGUACUCCAUUACCGUCGCGUGCGCAUUGCUUUCCCCCAUUUGUAAACAAGGUGAAACUCAUGUGUGCUCUAUGUCAGCAGCAAUGCAAAGGCCUUACGGGUUUGGAAAGACAUGAGGCAGAGGCAGAGAACAUGGCUAAGCUCUGUAGUUACACAGGACCUUCCGUCUCAUCAGAACCAAAAUGCAUGUUCGCUGUGGGGUGAAGACAGCUUUCUGAAAUUACAAAGACCCAGGACUGUCAGUUGAACGUAGGAACCAAUUUAUGUUUUUUUCCUCUAUUGUUUGUGUAUGUGUUUGGGCAGAAUGGUGUGUUGAGUUACCAUGUACUGCUGGUACAGCUGUGCAAGUUGAUGAGUCAGCAUUGAAGGCUCAUGACUGGCCUGGGAACCAAUUUUGUGAAGACAGACUAAACACACUGAUGGACUUUCACCAGCGAUAUAGCACUCAAAUGACUUCAAAGGUCACCUUAGGCCAUUAGAUUCUCUUACAUUCAUCCUACUUUACUUAGUUGGCAAGAUUUUAGUUGGAUAAUUGGUUCUUUGGAGAUUAAAAAAGUUUUUGAUGUGAAAUUAUAGGUUCUUAACUUGUGAGUUUUUAAAGGUACACUCAGUUUUUUCAGUAAGUGUUUUUAUGUUAUUCUGUCCA
Onychostoma macrolepis is the source of this 856-nucleotide long non-coding RNA. RefSeq lists it as uncharacterized. The transcript has 3 exons. NCBI's taxonomy places the organism in Eukaryota, Metazoa, Chordata, Actinopteri, Cypriniformes, Cyprinidae. The record is from RefSeq and is a predicted model, not a curated record.